AAAGACUACCGUUAAAAUCAACGGUAGUAGACGUGUUCUUUGUCUUUCCGUGAAUGAAGCAGAGAUGGGUACAGGUGGGAAAAUAGAUCAGCUGGGAAAAUAAACACCCCUUCAGCCACGCACUUGUUUUCUAAAUAUGCCAGUAUGGCAAAUGUCGAACCCUUUAAAAGGCCUACAGUGAAACUGGCCUCUAAGUAUGUUUUCCUAAAGACGACAUAAUGGGGUUUUUUUUUUUCUUACAUGUCACGCACUUUUCUAAAACACUAAAGGACUUUUUUCAGGAUUCCCUGGUCAUAAUGUUCUUAUAAAAUAGAUGAUUUAUCACUUUAAUCUCUUUGAGAGUCAAACUAUAGUAAAGAAUCAAAUAGUAUUACCAGAAAAAAAAAGCAACAAAAGGGGCUGGGGCUUUAGCUCAGCGGCACAGCGCCUGCCUGGCAAGCACAACGUCGUGAGUUCGAUUCCAGAGAGAAACCAAAGGAAGCAAGAAAAUAUACAUGUAAACCGCAAAGAUGAAAAAAUGAAUAAGCCAGAAAGAUGCUGGGCAUGGUGAUGCACGCCUAUAAUCCUAGCACUCCGGAGGCUGAGGCAGGAGAAUAUUCGAGUUUGAAGCAGCCUGAACCACAUGGUGAGUUCAAGGCCAGCCUGAACUGUACAGCAAGAUUCUGUCUCAAAAAAACAGAAAGCUACUGUGUCGUCCAUUACUGAGACACCACAGGGUGUGGUGCAGGCAUUAUCAAAAUGGCACUCUGUUAUGUUAAAAUGACAUAUGGUAGGCUUCCAAAAUGAACAGUAUUUUGUGUGUACUGGGUUGGAUCACAGUCCUCACACAAGAUUUUUUGAAGGGCAUGGGUAAGAAAGGGUUUUAAAUGUU
This 871-nucleotide long non-coding RNA is filed under the name Chinchilla lanigera (long-tailed chinchilla). RNAcentral describes it as "lncRNA (ENSCLAG00000024408.1)". Lineage: Eukaryota; Metazoa; Chordata; Mammalia; Rodentia; Chinchillidae. The record is from RNAcentral.